GACAGCAGUAGCCACGGGAAUACAGAGGUCCCGAGCGUUGUUCGGAUUCAUUGGGCGUAAAGGGUGUGUAGGAGGCCAGGUAAGUCAGGUGUGAAAUCUCAGAGCUUAACUCUGAAACUGCGCUUGAUACUGCUUGGCUAGAGGAUCGGAGGGGGUAACGGAAUUUAUGGUGUAGCAAUGAAAUGCGUAGAUAUCAUAAGGAACACCGGUGGCGAAGGCGGUUACCUGGAAGAUUCCUGACUCUGAAACACGAAAGCCAGGGGAGCAAACGGGAUUAGAUACCCCCGUAGUCCCUGUCUCUUAUAC
Molecule: ribosomal RNA, 306 nt
Filed under: uncultured bacterium
Lineage: Bacteria
Description: partial 16S ribosomal RNA
Rfam family: Bacterial small subunit ribosomal RNA
Source: RNAcentral